Molecule: ribosomal RNA, 497 nt
Filed under: uncultured bacterium
Lineage: Bacteria
Description: partial 16S ribosomal RNA
Rfam family: Bacterial small subunit ribosomal RNA
Source: RNAcentral
GAUGAACGCUGGCGGCGUGCCUAAUACAUGCAAGUCGAGCGAACAGACGAGGAGCUUGCUCCUCUGACGUUAGCGGCGGACGGGUGAGUAACACGUGGAGAACCUACCUAUAAGACUGGGAUAACUUCGGGAAACCGGAGCUAAUACCGGAUAAUAUAUUGAACCGCAUGGUUCAAUAGUGAAAGACGGUUUUGCUGUCACUUAUAGAUGGAUCUGCGCCGCAUUAGCUAGUUGGUAAGGUAACGGCUUACCAAGGCAACGAUGCGUAGCCGACCUGAGAGGGUGAUCGGCCACACUGGAACUGAGACACGGUCCAGACUCCUACGGGGGGCAGCAGUAGGGAAUCUUCCGCAAUGGGCGAAAGCUUGACGGAGCAACGCCGCGUGAGUGAUGAAGGUCUUCGGAUCGUAAAACUCUGUUAUUAGGGAAGAACAAAUGUGUAAGUAACUAUGCACGUCUUGACGGUACCUAAUCAGAAAGCCACGGCUAACUACGUG